This 301-nucleotide ribosomal RNA is filed under the name Salmonella enterica. Its description in RNAcentral is "partial 23S ribosomal RNA". It matches the Rfam family "Bacterial large subunit ribosomal RNA", at positions 1243 to 1547 of the family's 2925-position model. The record is from RNAcentral. RNAcentral also lists the same sequence under 2 other names. Lineage: Bacteria; Pseudomonadati; Pseudomonadota; Gammaproteobacteria; Enterobacterales; Enterobacteriaceae.
UAAGCCGUUGAAGGUGGCCUGUGAGGGUUGCUGGAGGUAUCAGAAGUGCGAAUGCUGACAUAAGUAACGAUAAAGCGGGUGAAAAGCCCGCUCGCCGGAAGACCAAGGGUUCCUGUCCAACGUUAAUCGGGGCAGGGUGAGUCGACCCCUAAGGCGAGGCCGAAAGGCGUAGUCGAUGGGAAACGGGUUAAUAUUCCCGUACUUGGUGUUACUGCGAAGGGGGGACGGAGAAGGCUAUGUUGGCCGGGCGACGGUUGUCCCGGUUUAAGCGUGUAGGUGUGUGUUCCAGGUAAAUCCGGUU